This 253-nucleotide ribosomal RNA is filed under the name uncultured bacterium. RNAcentral describes it as "partial 16S ribosomal RNA". It matches the Rfam family "Bacterial small subunit ribosomal RNA", at positions 524 to 776 of the family's 1533-position model. The record is from RNAcentral.
UACGUAGGUGGCAAGCGUUGUCCGGAUGUGCUGGGCGUAAAGGGCGUGCAGGCGGUUUGUUAAGUGCAGGGGGAAAGCUCCCGGCUCAACUGGGAGAGGUCCUUGCAUACUGGCGAACUCGAGGGAGGCAGAGGAAAGUGGAAUUCCCGGUGUAGUGGUGAUAUGCGUAGAUAUCGGGAGGAACACCUGUGGCGAAGGCGGGUCUCUGGACAGUUCCUGACGCUGAGGCACGAAGGUCAGGGGAGCAAACGGG